RNAcentral lists this ribosomal RNA (117 nucleotides) under Clostridia bacterium. Lineage: Bacteria; Bacillati; Bacillota; Clostridia. RNAcentral also lists the same sequence under 1 other name. The record is from RNAcentral.
ACUUGCGUCUAUUGCUAUGGGGUAACACCUGUUCCCAUUCCGAACACAGCAGUUAAGACCAUAAACGCCGAAACUAUCUGGCUGGAGACGGCCCGACAAUCUAGGUAGACGCAAGUU